This 460-nucleotide ribosomal RNA is filed under the name uncultured bacterium. RNAcentral's name for it is "partial 16S ribosomal RNA". It matches the Rfam family "Bacterial small subunit ribosomal RNA", at positions 338 to 795 of the family's 1533-position model. The record is from RNAcentral.
CCUACGGGUGGCAGCUGUGAGGAAUAUUGGUCAAUGGACGAGAGUCUGAACCAGCCAAGUAGCGUGAAGGAUGACUGCCCUAUGGGUUGUAAACUUCUUUUAUAUGGGAAUAAAAUGUUCCACGUGUGGGAUUUUGUAUGUACCAUAUGAAUAAGGAUCGGCUAACUCCGUGCCAGCAGCCGCGGUAAUACGGAGGAUCCGAGCGUUAUCCGGAUUUAUUGGGUUUAAAGGGAGCGUAGGUGGAUUGUUAAGUCAGUUGUGAAAGUUUGCGGCUCAACCGUAAAAUUGCAGUUGAAACUGGCAGUCUUGAGUACAGUAGAGGUGGGCGGAAUUCGUGGUGUAGCGGUGAAAUGCUUAGAUAUCACGAAGAACUCCGAUUGCGAAGGCAGUUCACUGGACUGCAACUGACACUGAGGCUCGAAAGUGUGGGUAUCAAACAGGAUUAGAUACCCGUGUAGUC